This 247-nucleotide ribosomal RNA is filed under the name uncultured bacterium. RNAcentral's name for it is "partial 16S ribosomal RNA". It matches the Rfam family "Bacterial small subunit ribosomal RNA", at positions 523 to 769 of the family's 1533-position model. The record is from RNAcentral.
AUACGUAGGGAGCGAGCGUUGUCCGGAAUUACUGGGUGUAAAGGGAGCGUAGGCGGGAUUGCAAGUCAGAUGUGAAAACUUAGGGCUCAACCUUAAGAUUGCAUUUGAAACUGUAGUUCUUGAGUGAAGUAGAGGUAAGCGGAAUUCCUAGUGUAGCGGUGAAAUGCGUAGAUAUUAGGAGGAACAUCGGUGGCGAAGGCGGCUUACUGGGCUUUUACUGACGCUGAGGCUCGAAAGCGUAGGGAGC